CAUGUCCUUUAGAAUUUAAUUUAAGGUCUAGCCUGCCCACUGAAAUUAAUUUUAAAUGGCCGCAGUAAUUUGACUGUGCAAAGGUAGCAUAAUCAUUAGUUUUUUAAUUGAAAGCUUGUAUGAAAGGUUGGACGAGGUAAAAUCUGUCUCUAAUUAAUUUAAUUUAGAAUUUAACUUUUAAGUUAAAAGGCUUAAAUAUAAUUAAAAGACGAGAAGACCCUAUAGAUCUUUAUAAUUUAUUUAUUAAAUUUAAUUAAGAAUUUUUAAAAUUUUAUUAAUUUAAUUAUUUUAUUGGGGUAAUGUAAAGAUUAAAUUAAUUCUUUUUUUUUAUUAACAUUAAUUUAUGAUUUUAUGAUCCAAUUUUAUUGGCUAUAAGAUUAAGUUACCUUAGGGAUAACAGCGUUAUUUUUUUAGAGAGUUCUUAUCGAUAAAAAAGUUUACGACCUCGAUGUUGGAUUAAAGAUUAUUUUAGGCGCAGAAGUUUAAAAAUUUUGGUCUGUUCGACCAUUGAAUCUUUACAUGAUCUGAGUUCAGACCGGUGUAAGCCAGGUCGGUUUCUAUCUUUAAUAAAUUAAAAUAUUUUAGUACGAAAGGACCAAUUAUUUAAUAUAAAAUAUUUAAAUUUUGAUUAUUAUU
RNAcentral lists this ribosomal RNA (636 nucleotides) under Nebria nivalis. Its description in RNAcentral is "partial 16S ribosomal RNA". The stretch from base 393 to 552 matches the Rfam family "Bacterial large subunit ribosomal RNA", at positions 2473 to 2632 of the family's 2925-position model. The record is from RNAcentral. Lineage: Eukaryota; Metazoa; Arthropoda; Insecta; Coleoptera; Carabidae.